GAUGAACGCUGGCGGCGUGCCUAAUACAUGCAAGUCGAGCGAACAGACGAGGAGCUUGCUCCUCUGACGUUAGCGGCGGACGGUGAGUAACACGUGGAUAACCUACCUAUAAGACUGGGAUAACUUCGGGAAACCGGAGCUAAUACCGGAUAACAUGUUGAACCGCAUGGUUCAACAGUGAAAGACGGUCUUGCUGUCACUUAUAGAUGGAUCCGCGCCGCAUUAGCUAGUUGGUAAGGUAACGGCUUACCAAGGCAACGAUGCGUAGCCGACCUGAGAGGGUGAUCGGCCACACUGGAACUGAGACACGGUCCAGACUCCUACGGGAGGCAGCAGUAGGGAAUCUUCCGCAAUGGGCGAAAUCCUGACGGAGCAACGCCGCGUGAGUGAAGAAGGUCUUCGGAUCGUAAAACUCUGUUAUUAGGGAAGAACAAAUGUGUAAGUAACUAUGCACGUCUUGACGGUACCUAAUCAGAAAGCCACGGCUAACUACGUG
RNAcentral lists this ribosomal RNA (496 nucleotides) under uncultured bacterium. Its description in RNAcentral is "partial 16S ribosomal RNA". It matches the Rfam family "Bacterial small subunit ribosomal RNA", at positions 28 to 507 of the family's 1533-position model. The record is from RNAcentral.